AUGGAGCGAUGGAUCAUCAUCAUAUUGUUGAUUUUUGCACUCAUUACCACGUGUGAGGGUACGUAUGACUUGUGGAAUUAUCAAUGGUUUACUGAAUCCAAAGUCGGAUGUUCUCGUUCAUUGUAAAUCCAAAAAUGACGAUCUUGGCGUUCACCAACUCCAGUACAAUGCUAGCUUUGAGUUUCAUUUCUCGCCCAACUUUUGGGGAACUACACAAUUCUACUGCAGCUUUGUGUGGCCAUCCCGAAUUGAAUGGGUCGACGUUUACAAACACAAGAGGGAUGCAUUUGAUUUAUGUUUGUGGAUGGUCAAGCAUGAUGGUCCAUGUAGGUUCGAUCAUGGCCACCAGAGCUUUGAUGAUUGCUUUAAAUGGAACAACAGAAUUUGA
RNAcentral lists this long non-coding RNA (388 nucleotides) under Prunus dulcis (almond). RNAcentral's name for it is "sRNA ncRNA". Lineage: Eukaryota; Viridiplantae; Streptophyta; Magnoliopsida; Rosales; Rosaceae. The record is from RNAcentral.